GACGAACGCUGGCGGCGUGCUUAACACAUGCAAGUCGAACGGAAAGGCCCUGCUUUUGUGGGUUGCUCGAGUGGCGAACGGGUGAGUAACACGUGAGUAACCUGCCCUUGACUUUUGUAUAACUUCACGAAACUGGGGCUAAUCCCGGAUAGGAGCUCCUGCUGCAUGGUGGGGGUUGGAAAGUUUCGGCGGUUGGGGAUGUACUCGCGGCUUAUCAGCUUGUUGGUGGGGUAGUGGCUUACGAAGGCUUUGACGGGUAGCCGGCCUGAGAGGGUGACCGGCCACAUUGGGACUGAGAUACGGCCCAGACGCGUACGGGAGGCAGCAGUGGGGAAUAGUGCACAAUGGGCGGAAGCCUGAUGCAGCAACGCCGCGUGCGGGAUGACGGCCUUCGGGUUGUAAACCGCUUUCGCCUGUGACGAAGCGUGAGUGACGGUAAUGGGUAAAGAAGCACCGGCUAACUACGUG
RNAcentral lists this ribosomal RNA (468 nucleotides) under uncultured bacterium. RNAcentral describes it as "partial 16S ribosomal RNA". It matches the Rfam family "Bacterial small subunit ribosomal RNA", at positions 28 to 507 of the family's 1533-position model. The record is from RNAcentral.